RNAcentral lists this ribosomal RNA (253 nucleotides) under uncultured bacterium. Its description in RNAcentral is "partial 16S ribosomal RNA". It matches the Rfam family "Bacterial small subunit ribosomal RNA", at positions 524 to 776 of the family's 1533-position model. The record is from RNAcentral.
UACAGAGACUGCAAGCGUUAUUCGGAUUCACUGGGCGUAAAGGGUGCGCAGGCGGCCAAGUGUGUGAGGCGUGAAAGCUCGGGGCUUAACCCCGGAAUUGCACCUCAAACUACAUGGCUAGAGCAUUGGAGAGGGUAGCAGAAUUCAUGGUGUAGCAGUGAAAUGCGUAGAUAUCAUGAGGAAUACCAGAGGCGAAGGCGGCUACCUGGACAAUUGCUGACGCUCAGGCACGAAAGCGUGGGGAGCAAAAGGG